RNAcentral lists this ribosomal RNA (460 nucleotides) under uncultured bacterium. RNAcentral describes it as "partial 16S ribosomal RNA". It matches the Rfam family "Bacterial small subunit ribosomal RNA", at positions 338 to 795 of the family's 1533-position model. The record is from RNAcentral.
CCUACGGGAGGCUGCAGUGAGGAAUAUUGGUCAAUGGACGCAAGUCUGAACCAGCCAUGCCGCGUGCAGGAAGACGGCUCUAUGAGUUGUAAACUGCUUUUGUACGAGGGUAAACGCAGAUACGCGUAUCUGUCUGAAAGUAUCGUACGAAUAAGGAUCGGCUAACUCCGUGCCAGCAGCCGCGGUAAUACGGAGGAUUCAAGCGUUAUCCGGAUUUAUUGGGUUUAAAGGGUGCGUAGGCGGUCGGGUAAGUUAGAGGUGAAAUCCCGAGGCUCAACGUCGGAAUUGCGUUUGAUACUGUUCGGCUGGAGUGUAGGUGCGGUAGGCGGAAUGUAUGGUGUAGCGGUGAAAUGCUUAGAGAUCAUGCAGAACACCGAUUGCGAAGGCAGCUUACCAGGCUACAUCUGACGUUGAGGCACGAAAGCGUGGGGAGCAAACAGGAUUAGAUACCCGUGUAGUC